CUGCUGCCUCCCGUAGGAGUCUGGGCCGUAUCUCAGUCCCAAUGUGGCCGGCCAACCUCUCAGUCCGGCUACUGAUCGUCGCCUUGGUAGGCCGUUACCCCACCAACUAGCUAAUCAGACGCGAGGCCAUCUUUCGGCGAUAAAAUCUUUGGUAUCAAGACCAUGCGAUCCCGAUACGUCAUGCGGUAUUAGCAGUCGUUUCCAACUGUUGUCCCCCUCCGAAAGGCAGGUUCCUCACGCGUUACUCACCAGUCCG
This 256-nucleotide ribosomal RNA is filed under the name uncultured bacterium. Its description in RNAcentral is "partial 16S ribosomal RNA". The record is from RNAcentral.